This 1248-nucleotide long non-coding RNA is filed under the name Phasianus colchicus (ring-necked pheasant). RNAcentral's name for it is "lncRNA (ENSPCLG00000013429.1)". The record is from RNAcentral. Lineage: Eukaryota; Metazoa; Chordata; Aves; Galliformes; Phasianidae.
AUGCCUAUGGGGAACCCAUGUAUCUCUAUGAGUUCCCAUGUAUCCCUGUGGUCCCCAUGUAUCCCUAUGGUUCCCCAUGUAUCCCUAUGGGUCCCCAUGUAUUCCUAUGAGUCCCCCAUGUAUCCCUAUGAGCCCCAUGUAUUNNNNNNNNNNNNNNNNNNNNNNNNNNNGGUCCCCAUGUAUCCCUAUGGUCCCCCAUGUAUCCCUAUGGUCCCCAUGUAUCCCUAUGGUUCUCCCCAUGUAUCCCUAUGGGUCCCCAUGUAUCCCUAUGGUCCCCAUGUAUCCCUAUGGUCCCCCAUGUAUCCCUAUGGUUCUCCCCGUGUGUCCCCAUGGGUUCCCCAUGUAUCCCUAUGGGUCCCCCAUGUAUCCCUACGGUUCCCCAUGUAUCCCCAUGGGUUCCCCAUGUAUCCCUAUGGUUCACCACGUCCAGUCUUUCCCUGAACGCCCCCCGUGUCGGUGACUGCACCGCCUCCCUGUGCAGCCCAUCCCCGUGCCUGGCCGCCUUUCUGGAAAGCAGUACUUGCUUGUGUCCGUGUUGAGGGACGUUAAAGGGCGCUGCCCCUUUAAGAGGCGUGGUGAAAAGAACUGAGGGGGCGUGGCCCGCUUAAAGAGGCGGGGCCAAAGGGAUGAGAGACCAAAAGGGGGCGUGGCCAGAACAGAACAUGUGCCAGAAGGGGGCGUGGCCAAUGGGGUUGGGGGUGGUGAUGCAAAGGGGGCGUGGUCGAAAAGAAUGAAGACCAAAGCGGGGUGUGGACAAACAGGGGGCGUAGCCAAUAGGAUUGCGUGACCAAAAGGGGGGCGUGGCCAGAACAGAACGUGGCCAAAAGGGGGCUUGGAGCUAAAGGGGGCGUGGCCAAUAGUGGGCAUGGCCAAUGGGGUUGAGGUGGUGACGCAAAGGGGGCGUGGACAAAACGGAUGCGAGGCCAAGUGGGGGCGUGGCCAAAAUCACAUUGGCCAAUGGGGUGUGUGGUCAAAGGGGGCGUGGUCAAAAAGAAUGAAGCCGAAAGCGGGGUGUGGACAAACGGGGGGCGUAGCCAAUAGGGAUGCGAGGCCGAUAAGGGGGCGUGGCCAAAACAAACAUGGCCAAAGGGGCUCUAACCUAAAGGGGGCGUGGCCAACAGUGGGCUUGGCCAAUGGGGUUGGGGCGGUGCCGCAAAGGGGGCGUGGUCAAAAGGGAUGAAGCUGAAAGGGGGUGUGGACAGAGCGGGACGUAGCCAAUAGGGUUGCAUGACCAAAUGGGGGGCGUGG